CCUACGGGCGGCAGCAGUGAGGAAUAUUGGUCAAUGGUCGGGAGACUGAACCAGCCAAGCCGCGUGAGGGAUGAAGGUACAGAGUAUCGUAAACCUCUUUUGUCAGGGAACAAAGGCGGGGACGUGUCCCCGGAUGAGUGUACCUGAAGAAAAAGCAUCGGUUAACUCCGUGCCAGCGGCCGCGGUAAUACGGAGUAUCGGAGCGUUAUCCGGAUUUAUGGGGUUAAAAGGGUGCGCAGGCGGUCUGUUAAGUCAGCGGUCAAAGCCCGGGGCCCAACCCCGGCCCGCCGUUGAAACUGGCAGUCUCGAGUUGGAGAGAAGUAUGCGGAAUGCGCGGUGUAGCGGUGAAAUGCAUAGAUAUCGCGCAGAACUCCGAUUGCGAAGGCAGCAUGCCGGCUCCACACUGACGCUGAGGCACGAAAGCGUGGGUAUCGAACAGGAUUAGAUACCCCUGUAGUC
RNAcentral lists this ribosomal RNA (459 nucleotides) under uncultured bacterium. Its description in RNAcentral is "partial 16S ribosomal RNA". It matches the Rfam family "Bacterial small subunit ribosomal RNA", at positions 338 to 795 of the family's 1533-position model. The record is from RNAcentral.